CCUACGGGAGGCAGCAGUGGGGGAUAUUGCACAAUGGGGGAAACCCUGAUGCAGCGACGCCGCGUGUGGGAAGACGGUCCUCUGGAUUGUAAACCACUGUCCCCAGGGACGAAGAUGACGGUACCUGGGGAGGAAGCUCCGGCUAACUACGUGCCAGCAGCCGCGGCAAUACGUAGGGAGCGAGCGUUGUCCGGAAUUACUGGGGGUAAAGGGAGCGUAGGCGGGACUGCAAGUUGGGUGUCAAAUCUACCGGCUCAACCGGUAGCCGCACUCAAAACUGCAGUUCUUGAGUGAAGUAGAGGCAGGCGGAAUUCCUAGUGUAGCGGUGAAAUGCGUAGAUAUUAGGAGGAACACCAGUGGCGAAGGCGACCUGCUGGGCUUUUACUGACGCUGAGGCUCGAAAGUGUGGGGAGCAAACAGGAUUAGAUACCCGAGUAGUC
RNAcentral lists this ribosomal RNA (440 nucleotides) under uncultured bacterium. Its description in RNAcentral is "partial 16S ribosomal RNA". It matches the Rfam family "Bacterial small subunit ribosomal RNA", at positions 338 to 795 of the family's 1533-position model. The record is from RNAcentral.